AACAAACGCUGGCGGCGCGUUUUAAGCAUGCAAGUCGGACGGUAGGGGUGCCCUUCGGGGUGCUCUGAGAGUGGCGAACGGGUGAGUAACACGUAGGUGAUCUACCCCUGGAUGAGGGAUAGUCCAUGGAAACAUGGGGUAAUACCGCAUGAAGCCUAUCUGGGUUAACUGGGUGGGUUAAAGGCGCAAUUGUGCUGUCUGGGGAUGAGCCUGCGGUCCAUUAGCUAGUUGGCAGGGUAAAGGCCUACCAAGGCAUUGAUGGAUAGCCGGCCUGAGAGGGUGUACGGCCACACUGGGACUGAGAUACGGCCCAGACUCCUACGGGAGGCAGCAGCUAAGAAUCUUCCGCAAUGGGCGAAAGCCUGACGGAGCGACGCCGCGUGAACGAUGAAGGCCGGAAGGUUGUAAAGUUCUUUUCUUCAUGAAGAAUAAUGUGGGGAGUGGAAAGCCCUGCAGAUGACGUUAGG
RNAcentral lists this ribosomal RNA (467 nucleotides) under uncultured bacterium. Its description in RNAcentral is "bacterial SSU rRNA". It matches the Rfam family "Bacterial small subunit ribosomal RNA", at positions 29 to 479 of the family's 1533-position model. The record is from RNAcentral.